RNAcentral lists this unclassified non-coding RNA (160 nucleotides) under soil metagenome. RNAcentral describes it as "partial internal transcribed spacer 1". The record is from RNAcentral.
AAGAGACGUUGCCCUUCGGGGUAUACCUCCCACCCUUUGUUUAUUAUACCUUUGUUGCUUUGGCGGGCCCGUCCUCGGACCACCGGCUUCGCUGGUCAGUGCCCGCCAGAGGACCUAAAACUCUGUUUGUUAAUAUUGUCUGAGUACUAUAUAAUAGUUA